AUAUUAUUAUAUGUUUGAGUCGUUGGUUAGUGGGUUUGCGUGCCUUUCGCACCAUGCUAUUCUGAGUUUACGGCGUAAAGCCCUCAACCGAAAAGACCAGAUCUCCCACACAGUCGUGCGGUACUCUAGGUGGGUUAUUUUUGUUAACUGUGUGGGCGUGGUGAUAAAUUAGUCGUUGGUCUUUAUAUCUGUUUAUCGGGUUUAGUUUUCUUUUUAUUGUGCUAGUGAUGAGAUUAGCACAAUGUCUAUAUAAGGGGUUGUGUGUAUUGUAGCUUAGGUUGGGAUUACCUGUGUGUCAUCGAGUGUGUCGUGAUUCAGUAGAAGCCUGUUUUGAUUAGCUAAACACCCCGUGUUGUUUAAAUUCAUUUGGUGAUUUAUGGUUUAAUAAGUAAUUAUAACAG
This 401-nucleotide ribosomal RNA is filed under the name Caryophyllaeus laticeps. RNAcentral describes it as "partial 16S ribosomal RNA". Lineage: Eukaryota; Metazoa; Platyhelminthes; Cestoda; Caryophyllidea; Caryophyllaeidae. The record is from RNAcentral.